RNAcentral lists this ribosomal RNA (451 nucleotides) under uncultured organism. RNAcentral describes it as "partial 16S ribosomal RNA". It matches the Rfam family "Bacterial small subunit ribosomal RNA", at positions 334 to 801 of the family's 1533-position model. The record is from RNAcentral.
CACUCCUGCGGGAGGCAGCAGUGGGGAAUAUUGGACAAUGGGCGCAAGCCUGAUCCAGCCAUGCCGCGUGAGUGAUGAAGGCCCUAGGGUUGUAAAGCUCUUUCACCGGUGAAGAUAAUGACGGUAACCGGAGAAGAAGCCCCGGCUAACUUCGUGCCAGCAGCCGCGGUAAUACGAAGGGGGCUAGCGUUGUUCGGAUUUACUGGGCGUAAAGCGCACGUAGGCGGACUAUUAAGUCAGGGGUGAAAUCCCGGGGCUCAACCCCGGAACUGCCUUUGAUACUGGUAGUCUUGAGUUCGAGAGAGGUGAGUGGAAUUCCGAGUGUAGAGGUGAAAUUCGUAGAUAUUCGGAGGAACACCAGUGGCGAAGGCGGCUCACUGGCUCGAUACUGACGCUGAGGUGCGAAAGCGUGGGGAGCAAACAGGAUUAGAUACCCCUGUAGUCCCAUGAU